ACUCAAAUGAAUAGACGGGGACCCGCACAAGCGGUGGAGCAUGUGGUUUAAUUCGAAGCAACGCGAAGAACCUUACCAAGGCUUGACAUGGAGAUGACCGGCAUAGAGAUAUGCCUUCCCUACGGGGCAUCUCACACAGGUGGUGCAUGGUUGUCGUCAGCUCGUGUCGUGAGAUGUUGGGUUAAGUCCCGCAACGAGCGCAACCCUUAUGUUUAGUAGCCAGCGGGUAAAGCCGGGUACACUAGAGAGACCGCCGUGGAUAACACGGAGGAAGGUGGGGACGACGUCAAAUCAUCAUGCCCCUUAUGUCUUGGGCUACACACGUGCUACAAUGGCUGAUACAAAGUGAUGCGAACCCGCGAGGGUAAGCCAACCACAAAAAAACAGCCCCAGUUCGGAUUGUAGGCUGCAACCCGCCUGCAUGAAGUUGGAAUCGCUAGUAAUCGCGAAUCAGCAUGUCGCGGUGAAUACGUUCCCGGGUCUUGCACACACCGCCCGU
RNAcentral lists this ribosomal RNA (499 nucleotides) under uncultured bacterium. RNAcentral describes it as "bacterial SSU rRNA". It matches the Rfam family "Bacterial small subunit ribosomal RNA", at positions 899 to 1397 of the family's 1533-position model. The record is from RNAcentral.